AGUGAACGCUGGCGGUAGGCCUAACACAUGCAAGUCGAACGGCAGCACAGUAAGAGCUUGCUCUUACGGGUGGCGAGUGGCGGACGGGUGAGGAAUACAUCGGAAUCUACUUUUUCGUGGGGGAUAACGUAGGGAAACUUACGCUAAUACCGCAUGCGAUCUACGGGUGAAAGCAGGGGAUCUUCGGACCUUGCGCGAUUGAAUGAGCCGAUGUCGGAUUAGCUAGUUGGCGGGGUAAAGGCCCACCAAGGCGACGAUCCGUAGCUGGUCUGAGAGGAUGAUCAGCCACACUGGAACUGGAACACGGUCAAGACUCCUGAGGUAGGCAGCAGUGGGGAAUAUUGGACAAUGGGCGCAAGCCUGAUCCAGCCAUACCGCGUGGGUGAAGAAGGCCUUCGGGGUGUAAAGCCCUUUUGUUGGGAAAGAAAAGCAGCAGGUUAAUACCCCGCUGUUCUGACGGUACCCAAAGAAUAAGCACCGGCUAACUUCGUG
RNAcentral lists this ribosomal RNA (492 nucleotides) under uncultured bacterium. RNAcentral's name for it is "partial 16S ribosomal RNA". It matches the Rfam family "Bacterial small subunit ribosomal RNA", at positions 29 to 507 of the family's 1533-position model. The record is from RNAcentral.